CUGCAAGCCUUCAGCAUGCGUGGGUCUGGGGUGACCCUAAUGCAUUUCUAUCGAGCUUGUGAGAACAUUUUGGAACAGUUUGAGGCCUUGCCCUGCUGCAUCCGGAGCAAGAUUAUAGACAUUUCAGACAGUC
This is a small nucleolar RNA of Pipistrellus kuhlii (Kuhl's pipistrelle), 133 nucleotides long. RefSeq annotates it as small nucleolar RNA SNORA9. Lineage: Eukaryota; Metazoa; Chordata; Mammalia; Chiroptera; Vespertilionidae. The transcript has a single exon. The record is from RefSeq and is a predicted model, not a curated record.